This 491-nucleotide ribosomal RNA is filed under the name uncultured bacterium. Its description in RNAcentral is "partial 16S ribosomal RNA". It matches the Rfam family "Bacterial small subunit ribosomal RNA", at positions 29 to 507 of the family's 1533-position model. The record is from RNAcentral.
GUGAACGCUGGCGGUAGGCCUAACACAUGCAAGUCGAACGGCAGCACAGUAAGAGCUUGCUCUUACGGGUGGCGAGUGGCGGACGGGUGAGGAAUACAUCGGAAUCUACUUUUUCGUGGGGGAUAACGUAGGGAAACUUACGCUAAUACCGCAUACGACCUACGGGUGAAAGCAGGGGAUCUUCGGACCUUGCGCGAUUGAAUGAGCCGAUGUCGGAUUAGCUAGUUGGCGGGGUAAAGGCCCACCAAGGCGACGAUCCGUAGCUGGUCUGAGAGGAUGAUCAGCCACACUGGAACUGAGACACGGUCCAGACUCCUACGGGAGGCAGCAGUGGGGAAUAUUGGACAAUGGGCGCAAGCCUGAUCCAGCCAUACCGCGUGGGUGAAGAAGGCCUUCGGGUUGUAAAGCCCUUUUGUUGGGAAAGAAAAGCAGCAGGUUAAUACCCCGCUGUUCUGACGGUACCCAAAGAAUAAGCGCCGGCUAACUUCGUG